UACGUAGGGUGCAGGCGUUGUCCGGAAUUAUUGGGCGUAAAGAGCUCGUAGGCGGUUUGUCACGUCGGAUGUGAAAACCCGGGGCUUAACCCCGGGCCUGCAUUCGAUACGGGCUGACUAGAGUUCGGCAGGGGAGACUGGAAUUCCUGGUGUAGCGGUGAAAUGCGCAGAUAUCAUGUGGAACGCCAAUGGUGAAAACAGGUAGCUGGGAGUGUGCUGACGCUGAGACACGAAAGCCAGGGGAGCGAACGGG
This 253-nucleotide ribosomal RNA is filed under the name uncultured bacterium. RNAcentral describes it as "partial 16S ribosomal RNA". It matches the Rfam family "Bacterial small subunit ribosomal RNA", at positions 524 to 776 of the family's 1533-position model. The record is from RNAcentral.